This 69-nucleotide transfer RNA is filed under the name Streptomyces nigra. RNAcentral's name for it is "tRNA-Arg". It matches the Rfam family "tRNA". From Rfam's summary of the family: Transfer RNA (tRNA) molecules are approximately 80 nucleotides in length. Their secondary structure includes four short double-helical elements and three loops (D, anti-codon, and T loops). The record is from RNAcentral. Lineage: Bacteria; Bacillati; Actinomycetota; Actinomycetes; Kitasatosporales; Streptomycetaceae.
ACCCCCGGGGGACACACCUAGCGCCUUCUAAGCGCUUGGCCGCAGGUUCGAGUCCUGCCGGGGGCGCCA